RNAcentral lists this transfer RNA (64 nucleotides) under Levilactobacillus brevis. RNAcentral describes it as "Lactobacillus brevis tRNA-Leu". It matches the Rfam family "tRNA", at positions 8 to 63 of the family's 71-position model. Rfam says of the family: Transfer RNA (tRNA) molecules are approximately 80 nucleotides in length. The record is from RNAcentral. Lineage: Bacteria; Bacillati; Bacillota; Bacilli; Lactobacillales; Lactobacillaceae.
GUUGGUCCAGUUAGGUUAGAGCGCCCACCUGAGACGUGGGAGGUCACCGGUUCGAAUCCGGUUA